UGACGGUCCUCAGAACACCUCUGUGCCA
This 28-nucleotide non-coding RNA is filed under the name Homo sapiens (human). Lineage: Eukaryota; Metazoa; Chordata; Mammalia; Primates; Hominidae. The record is from RNAcentral.